RNAcentral lists this ribosomal RNA (847 nucleotides) under Cyathicula cf. tomentosa. Its description in RNAcentral is "SSU rRNA". It matches the Rfam family "Eukaryotic small subunit ribosomal RNA", at positions 251 to 1102 of the family's 1831-position model. The record is from RNAcentral. Lineage: Eukaryota; Fungi; Ascomycota; Leotiomycetes; Helotiales; Helotiaceae.
UUCAUAAUACUUAACGAAUCGCAUGGCCUUGUGCCGGCGAUGGUUCAUUCAAAUUUCUGCCCUAUCAACUUUCGAUGGUAGGAUAGUGGCCUACCAUGGUUUCAACGGGUAACGGGGAAUUAGGGUUCUAUUCCGGAGAGGGAGCCUGAGAAACGGCUACCACAUCCAAGGAAGGCAGCAGGCGCGCAAAUUACCCAAUCCCGACACGGGGAGGUAGUGACAAUAAAUACUGAUACAGGGCUCUUUUGGGUCUUGUAAUUGGAAUGAGUACAAUUUAAAUCCCUUAACGAGGAACAAUUGGAGGGCAAGUCUGGUGCCAGCAGCCGCGGUAAUUCCAGCUCCAAUAGCGUAUAUUAAAGUUGUUGCAGUUAAAAAGCUCGUAGUUGAACCUUGGGCCUGGUUGGCCGGUCCGCCUCACCGCGUGCACUGGUCCGACCGGGUCUUUCCUUCUGGGGAGCCGCAUGCCCUUCACUGGGUGUGUCGGGGAACCAGGACUUUUACUUUGAAAAAAUUAGAGUGUUCAAAGCAGGCCUAUGCUCGAAUACAUUAGCAUGGAAUAAUAGAAUAGGACGUGUGGUUCUAUUUUGUUGGUUUCUAGGACCGCCGUAAUGAUUAAUAGGGAUAGUCGGGGGCAUCAGUAUUCCAUUGUCAGAGGUGAAAUUCUUGGAUUUAUGGAAGACUAACUACUGCGAAAGCAUUUGCCAAGGAUGUUUUCAUUAAUCAGUGAACGAAAGUUAGGGGAUCGAAGACGAUCAGAUACCGUCGUAGUCUUAACCAUAAACUAUGCCGACUAGGGAUCGGGCGAUGUUAUCUUUUUGACUCGCUCGGCACCUUACGAGAAAUCAAA